RNAcentral lists this ribosomal RNA (465 nucleotides) under Vreelandella stevensii. RNAcentral describes it as "partial 16S ribosomal RNA". It matches the Rfam family "Bacterial small subunit ribosomal RNA", at positions 338 to 795 of the family's 1533-position model. The record is from RNAcentral. Lineage: Bacteria; Pseudomonadati; Pseudomonadota; Gammaproteobacteria; Oceanospirillales; Halomonadaceae.
CCUACGGGAGGCUGCAGUGGGGAAUAUUGGACAAUGGGGGGAACCCUGAUCCAGCCAUGCCGCGUGUGUGAAGAAGGCCCUCGGGUUGUAAAGCACUUUCAGUGAGGAAGAACGCCUGGUGGUUAAUACCCAUCAGGAAAGACAUCACUCACAGAAGAAGCACCGGCUAACUCCGUGCCAGCAGCCGCGGUAAUACGGAGGGUGCGAGCGUUAAUCGGAAUUACUGGGCGUAAAGCGCGCGUAGGUGGCUUGAUAAGCCGGUUGUGAAAGCCCCGGGCUCAACCUGGGAACGGCAUCCGGAACUGUCAAGCUAGAGCGCAGGAGAGGAAGGUAGAAUUCCCGGUGUAGCGGUGAAAUGCGUAGAGAUCGGGAGGAAUACCAGUGGCGAAGGCGGCCUUCUGGACUGACACUGACACUGAGGUGCGAAAGCGUGGGUAGCAAACAGGAUUAGAUACCCUAGUAGUC